UUUCUUACACCGAAUGCUUGCAUUCACCGUAAGAAGUUGAGUGGCGGACGGGUGAGUAACACGUGGGUAACCUGCCUAAAAGAAGGGGAUAACACUUGGAAACAGGUGCUAAUACCGUAUAUCUCUAAGGAUCGCAUGAUCCUUAGAUGAAAGAUGGUUCUGCUAUCGCUUUUAGAUGGACCCGCGGCGUAUUAACUAGUUGGUGGGGUAACGGCCUACCAAGGUGAUGAUACGUAGCCGAACUGAGAGGUUGAUCGGCCACAUUGGGACUGAGACACGGCCCAAACUCCUACGGGAGGCAGCAGUAGGGAAUCUUCCACAAUGGACGCAAGUCUGAUGGAGCAACGCCGCGUGAGUGAAGAAGGUCUUCGGAUCGUAAAACUCUGUUGUUAGAGAAGAACACUAGUGAGAGUAACUGUUCAUUCGAUGACGGUAUCUAACCAGCAAGUCACGGCUAACUACGUGCCAGCAGCCGCGGUAAUACGUAGGUGGCAAGCGUUGUCCGGAUUUAUUGGGCGUAAAGGGAACGCAGGCGGACUUUUAAGGCUGAUGUGAAAGCCUUCGGCUGAGACGGAGUAGUGCAUUGGAGACUGGAAGACUUGAGUGCAGAAGAGGAGAGUGGAACUCCAUGUGUAG
Molecule: ribosomal RNA, 636 nt
Filed under: Ligilactobacillus salivarius
Lineage: Bacteria; Bacillati; Bacillota; Bacilli; Lactobacillales; Lactobacillaceae
Description: bacterial SSU rRNA
Rfam family: Bacterial small subunit ribosomal RNA
Source: RNAcentral